Molecule: ribosomal RNA, 636 nt
Filed under: Aspergillus tubingensis
Lineage: Eukaryota; Fungi; Ascomycota; Eurotiomycetes; Eurotiales; Aspergillaceae
Description: eukaryotic LSU rRNA
Rfam family: Eukaryotic large subunit ribosomal RNA
Source: RNAcentral
GGUUGACCUCGGAUCAGGUAGGGAUACCCGCUGAACUUAAGCAUAUCAAUAAGCGGAGGAAAAGAAACCAACCGGGAUUGCCUCAGUAACGGCGAGUGAAGCGGCAAGAGCUCAAAUUUGAAAGCUGGCUCCUUCGGGGUCCGCAUUGUAAUUUGCAGAGGAUGCUUCGGGUGCAGCCCCCGUCUAAGUGCCCUGGAACGGGCCGUCAUAGAGGGUGAGAAUCCCGUAUGGGGCGGGGUGUCUGCGUCCGUGUGAAGCUCCUUCGACGAGUCGAGUUGUUUGGGAAUGCAGCUCUAAAUGGGUGGUAAAUUUCAUCUAAAGCUAAAUACUGGCCGGAGACCGAUAGCGCACAAGUAGAGUGAUCGAAAGAUGAAAAGCACUUUGAAAAGAGAGUUAAACAGCACGUGAAAUUGUUGAAAGGGAAGCGCUUGCAACCAGACUCGCUCGCGGGGUUCAGCCGGGCUUCGGCCCGGUGUACUUCCCCGCGGGCGGGCCAGCGUCGGUUUGGGCGGCCGGUCAAAGGCCUCCGGAAUGUAGCGCCCUUCGGGGCGCCUUAUAGCCGGGGGUGCAAUGCGGCCAGCCUGGACCGAGGAACGCGCUUCGGCACGGACGCUGGCAUAAUGGUUGUAAACGACC